RNAcentral lists this ribosomal RNA (274 nucleotides) under uncultured bacterium. RNAcentral's name for it is "partial 16S ribosomal RNA". It matches the Rfam family "Bacterial small subunit ribosomal RNA", at positions 523 to 796 of the family's 1533-position model. The record is from RNAcentral.
AUACGGAGGGUGCAAGCGUUACUCGGAAUCACUGGGCGUAAAGCGCGCGCAGGCGGUCUUUUAAGUUGGAUGUGAAAGCCUACGGCUCAACCGUAGAACUGCAUCCAAAACUAUUAGACUAGAGUGUGGGAGAGGAAGAUGGAAUUAGUUGUGUAGGGGUAAAAUCCGUAGAGAUAACUAGGAAUACCAAAAGCGAAGGCAAUCUUCUGGAACACUACUGACGCUGAGGCGCGAAAGCGUGGGGAGCAAACAGGAUUAGAAACCCCAGUAGUAC